AUCAUUAAUUAUGUUAAAGCGCCUUACCUUAGGGUUUCCUCUGGGGUAAGUGAUUGCUUCUACACUGUGAAAAUUUGGCUGAGAGACUCAGACUGGUCAUGGGUAGACCUAUCUGGGGUUUGAUCGAUGCCACUCCUGGUUUCAGGAGUACCCUUCAUAAUAAACCUAGAAAUUCAGUAUUAUAAAGUUUAAUAAAAAACAACUUUUAACAAUGGAUCUCUUGGUUCUCGCAUCGAUGAAGAACGUAGCAAAGUGCGAUAACUAGUGUGAAUUGCAUAUUCAGUGAAUCAUCGAGUCUUUGAACGCAGCUUGCACUCUAUGGUUUUUCUAUAGAGUACGCCUGCUUCAGUAUCAUCACAAACCCACACAUAACAUUUGUUUAUGUGGUGAUGGGUCGCAUCGCUGUUUUAUUACAGUGAGCACCUAAAAUGUGUGUGAUUUUCUGUCUGGCUUGCUAGGCAGGAAUAUUACGCUGGUCUCAGGAUCUUUUUUUUUGGUUCGCCCAGGAAGUAAAGUACAAGAGUAUAAUCCAGUAACUUUCAAACUAUGAUCUGAAGUCAGGUGGGAUUACCCGCUGAACUUAAGCAUAUCAAUAAGCGGAGGAAAAGAAAAUAACAAUGAUUUCCCUAGUAACGGCGAGUGAAGAGGAAAGAGCUCAAAGUUGGAACCUGUUUGGCCUAGCUAAACCGGAUUGUAGWCUGUAGAAGWGUUUYCCAGGCAAGCCKAG
This 727-nucleotide ribosomal RNA is filed under the name Rhizopus arrhizus. RNAcentral's name for it is "eukaryotic LSU rRNA". The stretch from base 201 to 354 matches the Rfam family "5.8S ribosomal RNA". Lineage: Eukaryota; Fungi; Mucoromycota; Mucoromycetes; Mucorales; Rhizopodaceae. The record is from RNAcentral.